RNAcentral lists this long non-coding RNA (1756 nucleotides) under Piliocolobus tephrosceles (Ugandan red Colobus). RNAcentral describes it as "lncRNA (ENSPTEG00000012702.1)". Lineage: Eukaryota; Metazoa; Chordata; Mammalia; Primates; Cercopithecidae. The record is from RNAcentral.
UAUAAACAAAAUGAACGAUACAGCAUUUAAAAAGGUUUUGCAACAAUCGAACACAAAAGAAAUAAAUUGUUGUUUAAAAUUGAUACCAAAACGUAGUAAAAGUAACAAUAAAAAAACGUAUUCUAGAAGUAAUUGUAUAUUUUUUAACAAUACAUCAAAAUCAAACGAAAAAGAAGGAGAAAGAGAAAGAGAAAGAGAAAGAGAAAGUAAAAGAGAGCAUUCGAUAAAUCGAAUACAUAGUUACAAAUUACCAAGUAAUAAUUAUAUUGACAAUGUAUUGAAAAUUAAAAAAUAUAUAAAAUUGCCUAAAGGUAUUAAUAAUGAAGUUGAUAAAAACAAAUGGAAAGAGGCACAAAGUUUAAGAUAUAGAAUGAAAAUGUAUGAUGCUAUGACAAGAAAAAAAAUCAAACAAAGCAGCAUUAUUAAUAAUAAAGCUAAAUAUAAUAGAGAAAGAUAUAUUAUUUUAAACAAAAUUCCAUUAUAUAGAGAAGCCUUUCCUUCAAGCGCUAAAACACCAUCAGAUAAAAAUAAAAAAGAUGUUAUUCGAAAUUAUCUUAAAAUGCAUGCUUCUUAUUUGAUUUCUGAAAUACAAGAAGGUAUAAAAAAUAGCCAUUUAGACGAACAUAUAAAGUAUAGUACUAUAUCAAACAAAUAUAAAGAUUAUACACGUGAUGAUUGUAAAGGCAAGUUUUUAAAUAAUAGUUCAACUUUUUCUAAAAAACCGUGCUGUUCUUGCAAUUCUCAUAAUACUCACACGUGUAGCCCACACAUAUCUCCAUGUAAACAAUCUUGCAGCACACGAUGUCCCCAAACGCACAAGUCUGACUUUGGCUUAUAUAAACUAUCUAAUAAUAAUAUUAAAAAUGAAAAAACAAAACAACAAAAAAAAGAUUUAUCAUAUAAUUUAUGGAAAAAAAAAAUCAUUGAUGAUAUUAAAAAUGGAAAUAUUAGUACACAUGAUAGCCAGUAUUUAAAAAAACACGGCUUUAAAAAAUUUUAUCUACAAGAUGAAAAUACGAACAUAACCAAUGUAAAUCAUAAUAAUACAAAUUAUGACAAUGUCUCAGUAAAUGAUGCUCAUAAUAAUAUACAAAAGUCGUCAAAUAGUUAUAAUAGAAUAUAUGGAAAAAAACCAUCCAAUUUAAAAAUUUCAAAUUGCAAACUAAACUUAAAGAUAAAAGAGACGAUACCACUAUCCUCAAAAAUUACAUCUUCUAAUAAAAAAAAAACAAAAGUUUCUUAUGAACAUAAUAUGAAUAAGCCAAAUAUCAAUUACAACAUUGAUUCAGAUAGUACAUACAAUUCGGACACACGUGAUUACUCGGAUGCUUGUACAGAUGUUGUGCAUAAUGGUGUCAUAAAUAGUUAUAUAAAAAAGGCUGUAGGUAGUCAUUAUGAAUAUAUAAAUGGUACCCAUAAUAGUGGCAACUACAAUAAUGGUAACUAUAAUAGUAGUCACGAUUAUAAUUCAAAUAAAACCACAAAUGUAUAUCAACCUAACCUUAACAGCUAUCACAGUCUUAAUAAACAACAAAUCUUAAUAAAUGAAAAUUCUGGUUAUAAAAAAAAGAGGUUUGCUAUAACGGGGAAAAUUAAAAAAAAUAAAAAUAUAGAAGUAAGUCUAGUUUUAAACAAAGUGUAAUUUGAAUUUGUAAACGUCAGCAUAUAUAAAAUAUCAUACGCAAGAAUCAAACAUAAUUUUAUUUAAAAAAAAAAAAAAAAUAAAUAAUUAAAUAAUAUAAAAAUAAUUGAUAAA